UACGUAGGGUGCGAGCGUUGUCCGGAAUUACUGGGCGUAAAGAGUUCGUAGGCGGUUUGUCGCGUCGUUCGUGAAAACUUGGGGCUUAACCCCGAGCCUGCUUCUGAUACGGGCAGACUAGAGGUAUGCAGGGGAGAACGGAAUUCCUGGUGUAGCGGUGAAAUGCGCAGAUAUCAGGAGGAACACCGGUGGCGAAGGCGGUUCUCUGGGCAUUACCUGACGCUGAGGAGCGAAAGUGUGGGGAGCGAACAGG
RNAcentral lists this ribosomal RNA (253 nucleotides) under uncultured bacterium. RNAcentral's name for it is "partial 16S ribosomal RNA". It matches the Rfam family "Bacterial small subunit ribosomal RNA", at positions 524 to 776 of the family's 1533-position model. The record is from RNAcentral.